GACGAACGCUAGCGGCGUGGAUAAGGCAUGCAAGUCGAACGAACAUCUUUUGAUGUUAGUGGCAAACGGGUUAGUAACGCGUGGGAAUCUACCUUGUACUUGGGGAUACGCCAUUGAAAAAUGGUUUAAUACCCAAUAGUCCCGUAAGGGUAAAGUUACGGCGGUACAAGAGGAGCCCGCGUCCUAUCAGCUUGUUGGUGAGGUAAUUGCUCACCAAGGCAAUGACGGGUAGGGGGUGUGAGAGCAUGAACCCCAACACUGGGACUGAGACACUGCCCAGACACCUACGGGUGGCUGCAGUCGAGAAUCUUCCACAAUGGACGAAAGUCUGAUGGAGCGACGCCGCGUG
This 349-nucleotide ribosomal RNA is filed under the name bacterium. Its description in RNAcentral is "bacterial SSU rRNA". It matches the Rfam family "Bacterial small subunit ribosomal RNA", at positions 28 to 403 of the family's 1533-position model. The record is from RNAcentral.